Long non-coding RNA from Gossypium arboreum, 542 nucleotides. RefSeq lists it as uncharacterized. The transcript is spliced from 2 exons. NCBI's taxonomy places the organism in Eukaryota, Viridiplantae, Streptophyta, Magnoliopsida, Malvales, Malvaceae. The record is from RefSeq and is a predicted model, not a curated record.
UACUUUGCUAUGCGCAGUGUUUGGUGUUUAAAAUAUGUAUUUUUUUUAAAAAAUUUCUCUCUCAUUUCUCUCUAUCUCACCAUAACCCUGAGUCUAGAACCAAACCCAACGAUCUAAUGUUGUUCAUCAUCGCCGGCGAUGGUUUUUGAACAAAGGUUGUCAAAUCUUCCCUUUCCAUCUCGGCUUUUCAUUUAUCCAGUUCCAAAAGUUCCAGGCUCUACCACUACCUGUCGUCUUCUCCGUCACUAUGACCGCCGUGUCCCGUACGCAAUGUGUAGCUGGCAUCACCAUGUCGAAUACUGGUACAAGAGUUUUUGGGGGUCUGGCCGCCUCUUUCGGAAUUCUUAAAAUUUUUAUACUAAAAAAACAAAUAUUUUGAUUUUCAAAAGUUUAAAAUUUGAUAUUUUUGUCCCAUUCCAAAUCAAUAAGUUCAAAUUAAAAGGAGGAGAAGAAGAAAUUAUUUGUGUGGUGAAAAUGAAAAAAGAAAAAGAAAAGAGAUAUGGUAAUUUUAUAAAUUAAAUAAUUUUAAAUGUUGAAUAAAA